UACGUAGGAGGCAAGCGUUGUCCGGAUUUAUUGGGCGUAAAGAGCGUGUAGGCGGCUAGGUAGGUCCGUUGUGAAAACUCGAGGCUCAACCUCGAGACGUCGAUGGAAACCAUCUAGCUAGAGUCCGGAAGAGGAGAGUGGAAUUCCUGGUGUAGCGGUGAAAUGCGCAGAUAUCAGGAAGAACACCCGUGGCGAAGGCGGCUCUCUGGUACGUGACUGACGCUGAGACGCGAAAGCGUGGGGAGCGAACAGG
Molecule: ribosomal RNA, 253 nt
Filed under: uncultured bacterium
Lineage: Bacteria
Description: partial 16S ribosomal RNA
Rfam family: Bacterial small subunit ribosomal RNA
Source: RNAcentral